GACGAACGCUGGCGGCGUGCUUAACACAUGCAAGUCGAACGGUGAAGCUCCAGCUUGCUGGAGUGGAUCAGUGGCGAACGGGUGAGUAACACGAGAGCAACCUGCCCCUGACUCUGGAAUAAGCGCUGGAAACGGCGACUAAUACUGGAUCCGCGAAGGGCAUGCAUGGGCACUUUCUGGAAAGUUUUUCGGUUGGGGAUGGGCUCGCGGCCUAUCAGCGUGUUGGUGAGGUAAUGGCUCACCAAGGCGACGACGGGUAGCCGGCCUGAGAGGGCGACCGGCCACACUGGGACUGAGACACGGCCCAGACUCCUACGGGAGGCAGCAGUGGGGAAUAUUGCACAAUGGGCGAAAGCCUGAUGCAGCGACGCCGCGUGAGGGAUGACGGCCUUCGGGUUGUAAACCUCUUUCAGCAGGGAAGAAGCGAAAGUGACGGUACCUGCAGAAGAAGCACCGGCUAACUACGUG
Molecule: ribosomal RNA, 468 nt
Filed under: uncultured bacterium
Lineage: Bacteria
Description: partial 16S ribosomal RNA
Rfam family: Bacterial small subunit ribosomal RNA
Source: RNAcentral